CCAAUAGCGUAUAUUAAAGUUGUUGCAGUUAAAAAGCUCGUAGUUGAAUUUCGGGAUUAGUACGCUGGUCGUGCCUUCGGUAUGUACUGGUGUUACUGGUUCCUACCUUCUGACGAACCGUCAUGUCAUUAAUUUGGUGUGGCGGGAAAUCAGGACUGUUACUUUGAAAAAAUUAGAGGGUUUAAAGCAGGCUCGCGCUUGAAUACAUUAGCAUGGAAUAAGGAAAUAGGACGUUCGAUCCUAUUUUGUUGGUUUCUAGGAUUGACGUAAUGAUUAAUAGGGAUAGUUGGGGGCAUUAGUAUUCAAUUGUCAGAGGUGAAAUUCUUGGAUUUAUUGAAGACUAACUACUGCGAAAGCAUUUGCCAAGGAUGUUUUCAUUAAUCAAGAACGAAAGUUAGGGGAUCGAAGACGAUCAGAUACCGUCGUAGUCUUAACCAUAAACUAUGCCGACUAGGGAUCGGAUGAUGUUAUUUUUAAUGACUCAUUCGGCGCCUUACG
RNAcentral lists this ribosomal RNA (498 nucleotides) under uncultured Glomeromycotina. Its description in RNAcentral is "partial small subunit ribosomal RNA". It matches the Rfam family "Eukaryotic small subunit ribosomal RNA", at positions 591 to 1092 of the family's 1831-position model. Lineage: Eukaryota; Fungi; Glomeromycota. The record is from RNAcentral.